RNAcentral lists this ribosomal RNA (253 nucleotides) under uncultured bacterium. Its description in RNAcentral is "partial 16S ribosomal RNA". It matches the Rfam family "Bacterial small subunit ribosomal RNA", at positions 524 to 776 of the family's 1533-position model. The record is from RNAcentral.
UACGUAGGGUCCGAGCGUUGUCCGGAAUUAUUGGGCGUAAAGAGCUCGUAGGCGGUUUGUCGCGUCUGCUGUGAAAUCCCGAGGCUCAACCUCGGGUCUGCAGUGGGUACGGGCAGACUGGAGUGCGGUAGGGGAGAAUGGAAUUCCUGGUGUAGCGGUGGAAUGCGCAGAUAUCAGGAGGAACACCAAUGGCGAAGGCAGCUCUCUGGUACGUGACUGACGCUAAGACGCGAAAGCGUGGGGAGCGAACAGG